GCCAAGCCGUAAAAAAUCAACUUACACCAAUUAGCGCCCGGGAAUUACGAGUAAAACUUAAAACCCAAAGGACUUGACGGUGUCCUAUCCCCUACUAGAGGAGCCUGUUCUAUAAUCGAUAAUCCACGUUAUACCCAACCAUCUCUUGCUUAUCAGCCUGUAUACCUCCGUCGCAAGCUUACCAUAUGAACGCAUAACAGUAGGCCCAAGGACUUAGCGCCACAACGUCAGGUCAAGGUGCAGCUCAUGAGAUGGAAAGUAAUGGGCUACAAUUUCUAAAUUAGAACAAACGAAAAACUACAUGAAACAUAGACAUGAAGGUGGAUUUAGUAGUAAAUAAGGAAUAGAGAGCCUUAUUAAACUUGGCCCUGGGACGUGUACACACCGCCCGUCACC
Molecule: ribosomal RNA, 396 nt
Filed under: Kurixalus lenquanensis
Lineage: Eukaryota; Metazoa; Chordata; Amphibia; Anura; Rhacophoridae
Description: partial 12S ribosomal RNA
Rfam family: Bacterial small subunit ribosomal RNA
Source: RNAcentral